AUUGGAUUAUGGGAGGGAUUUUAAACUGGUAGUAAGCCGUGGGGCUGUAGACAGCCUACAGAGCUCAGAAACUGUGUGUAUGAUCAUUUGCGUAUAGUGGUAUGUGUCUCUACUGUUUUCCAUUAUCUGUGGCCGGAGGUGGAGGAGGGAGGCACAGCAUCUGAAAUAUGAACCUCUUCUGCUUCUCUCUGGAAGGCUCGACAGAGUGUUUGUUGAGCCUGCCCUCAACAAACACCCAGUCAUCCACGAAAACAGUAGUAGAGUUCCCAGUCGACACAGUAGCCCAUCUUUGAGGGACAAGGGCCAAGUGGAGAGGCUCAGAUCCAUGUAUACCCACGGAGCUGUCCGGAACUCACAAAUCCCAUUUGAAAAAGAAGAAGAGAAGGUGUGGAACAUUUGUGUUAUUUAUGGCUGUCAGUCAACACAUGCUGUGGUUAAAGUUAGAGUGAGGGGCUUAGUUAACUCUUGAAAUUGAUGCUAAGGUGUGCUGCUUAUAUCUCCAGGAAAUAAUGAGUUAAUCAGGAGUUCUCAGCAGGUCCACUGUUAGCGUUUUUGUCCUUGUCCUCAUGGUGGCCUUCACUCUCUAAGCCUCCAGGCAGCUGUCUGUUUGGAUCUUGGUCCCUUGCUCAAACCUGUUUAGAGGGCACCUAUUCUAUAAUUUUUAUAUCACAACAAGGGCAUGGUUCACAGUCUUUGGCAAGAGAAAGAGACACAGGUAUGGAGGACACAGGGCGAGGUGCCUCGUAAGGAUCCGCCGAUGGCGAGUAGGAAAUCUGCCCUUCCAUCAAUAUUACCUGCCAACAUACAAUCAUUGGACAAUAAAUUAGACGAGGUAUGAUCACGAAUAUCCUACCAACGGGACAUCAAAAACUAUAAUAUCUUAUGUUUCACCGAAUCAUGGCUGAAUGACAACAUGGAAAACGUUCAGCUGGCGGGAUAUAUGAUGCACCGGAUAGAUAGAACAGCAGACUCCGGUAAGACGGUAUAUUUGUAAACAACAGCUGGUGCAUGAAAUCUAAGGAAGACUCCAGAUUUUGCUCGCUUGAAGUAGAGUAUCUCAUGAUAAGCUGUAGACCACACUAUUUGCCAAGAGAGAUUUCAU
This is a long non-coding RNA of Salvelinus sp. IW2-2015, 1102 nucleotides long. RefSeq lists it as uncharacterized. Lineage: Eukaryota; Metazoa; Chordata; Actinopteri; Salmoniformes; Salmonidae. The record is from RefSeq and is a predicted model, not a curated record.